Molecule: long non-coding RNA, 6269 nt
Organism: Pezoporus flaviventris
Lineage: Eukaryota; Metazoa; Chordata; Aves; Psittaciformes; Psittacidae
Exons: 2
Source: RefSeq, a predicted model, not a curated record
AGGGGAAGUUUAGACUCGAUAUUAGGAAACAUUUCUUCCCCAAAAGGGCUGUCAAGCAUUGGAACAGUCUGCCCAUGGAAGUGGGUGAGUCACCAUUCCUGGAAGUAUUUAAAAGAUAUAUAGAUGUGGUGCACUUAGGGACAUGGUUUAGUGGUGGGCUUGGCAGUGCUGAGUUAAUAGUUGGACUUGAUGAUCUUAAAGGUCUUUUCCAAAUGAAAUGAUUCUAUGAUUCCAUUAAGAGAUCUAAAUGGACCUAAUUUUCCAUAUGUACUUUCUGAAGUUCACUUACUGAGCCCUCAUAUGAGGCAUCUGUGGAGUUUUUGAAUUUAAUUGCCCAAAAAGAGACACCAAAGUGCAGUUCUGAGAAUCUUAGCCUUUCAGUCUUAAUUUAGGCUCUGGUUUGUUGUUUGGGUUUUUUUUAAUACUUGGCCUUAUAAAAAGCAUAAUUUCAAAUCAUUUUAGUAAUGGAAGUUAUUUGAUUCUCUGUUCCUGAAGAGAGAGACUCCACUUAUAAAACAUCCUUAUAAAUGACCAAUUCUUUUCAAGUAUAUUACCAGUAUGCUGUUAUUUUUCAAGUGUGGCAUUUGUGUGUCUUAGAUUUUUUUUUACCUUUCAGGAAUGCUAUGAAAUAAGCUUCAUUCUCACUGUUAAUAGACAACUGUAAUGCCUUAACUUUUUAAUAGCUUUGGAAUGCAGUACAUUUGAAAUAUUUGAUAGACUCUGCAUUAUAUAGACUUUGCUUACACCCAAGGGAAAUUGCAAAUAUAAUAAUAGCUACAAGAUUCACUCUUCUUGUCUGAAUACUUUACAUAGAUGUUUAAAAUGACUAGACAAAAAAUUAUGAAAGCAGCAUAUGACUCAAAAUGUAAAUAAAAUAUGGGAACUACUGGACCAAAAUCUGCAUCCCAGAAAAACUUAGUGACAGUCAAGUCUCCAGAGAGGAUAAUUUAAAAACAUUUAGUAAGGACUUAGUCCUCACACUUACACAUCUGAGAGUCAAGUAUUUUGAGCAGCUGGGCUGCAAACAGUCUUUCCAGAAAUUCAGUGAGUGACUCUCUAAAUGUUUAAGCAGUUCUCAGAUAUUAUACUCAUUUCCCUGUGCUUGGUCUACCUGGGCUUUUUUGUUAACUAUCCAUGAUAGUGAUUUCCACAGUUUUCCAUCGCUAUGGAAGCUGCAGCCAAGAAUGGCCCACAAAUUCUGAGGAUUUGCAAUGAAGAACUAACUGUAAGGGUUUGUUUUAGGUUUGGGGUUUUUUUACAUGAGAGAAAAAAUGACCCAAAUGCAUGCUUAUCUUCUGCUCAUAUCAAUUGCCAGAGCUCCAGCAAUGGGGUAGUGUUGUGGCAGUUUACUUGAGCUGAGAAUCUGCUCCGUUUUUUUCUUUGAGGAACUGGGUUUGCAGAGUUGUCACCAUUACUUCACUGGAAGACACCACCGGAAAACACGUACUCUAAAGAAGGAGGCAAGCUUACAGACUCUGUAUGUGAGAGCUCUACUUAGCAACCCUCAGCAGGGCAGCAGAACCAGGUCCCAGAUACAGAGCUGAAACAAGCAGAUAAUUACAAGAAUACAAGCUAUGAAUUCCAGAAAGUUCAAACAAAUUCCUUCUGCUUGUUCAUAUCAAGAUUUAUACAAAUAGCAUAGCGUGAGACUUGGCAAGAUAAUUUUCCUUCAGUUUUGCCAUGUGUUUCUUCACAAGCCUGUCCCCCAUUUAAAAAAGCAGGAUCGCUAAUACUAGAGGUCUGUCUGAUGUCUCAACAUGUGCAUGUGUAGUUCUGUUGGCUGCAGUGCUACUGCAGUAAGGGCAAGGUAGUCAGAGCCAGUUUGUCUGUAUCUGCAGAAGUGAGUUCUCAGUGCUUGGUUGUGCUAUAAAGCCAGUCCCUGAGAAUCCCUGACAGUAAAUGUAAUUCUCCUCAAAUCUAGAGCAGUGUUUAAAGCGGAGGAAGCACAGGAGCCUCCUGAACAGUUUCUUCCCCCGUUGCUUGUCAGUGAUUUCACUGCAAUGCCUAGAAAAAGCAAAGCAGUUCAGACAUCUAUUUCUGAAAAGCUAGUUGUGGAUUCCCAGUGCUGAUGUGUUUUUCAGACCCUCUGGUGAAUUUCUAAGAUCUCUUGGAAUAACAGCUGCUGAGGGGGGCGGGGGUACUGGAAAUCCCCACUGUGGAUUUCAGGUUUACAGACUUUGAUGAAAUCUCUAAACAACAGGUUGGGAAAGCUGUUUUUUAUCAAGAGCAGCUAUGAAGGCAGAGAAGCAAACUCUUGUCAGUAAAGAGCUUUUCAUCUCCUUGUCAUAUUUUUCUGAGAAAUGAAGGGUAGGAGAGGAGUAGAGACUCUUUUCUGUUCAGCUUCUCCGUAGAGAGGUAUGCCAAUAAAGAUACAGCCUGAUACUCAGAAGUGUAUUGGUGGCCCUCACAAAAGCAGUGCCUUGAGAGCCACAGAGUGGGAGGGAGAAUCAUGCUGAGGGCUGGGUAGUAGCUCAGAACUGCUGUUGUUUUUUUCUUCCUUUUCUUGAAAGCCUAUUUUUUUCACAUAUUUGAAACCUAGAAGAGACUACUGUUACAAUUGGUUAAAUCCCUGUGUAACUUCAAACAUAGUUUGCAGCUGUGCAUGACAGAGAUCUGGAGGAGAAAAACUCCUUAUCUGAAACACCUUAGUAGUUCCUAGGUCAUAGGCAUUUUCAGUUCCUCACCAGCAUAUGGGAUAAUAUAUAAAAUGCUUUUCAUGCCUCAGGACAGCAUGUGAACAGAUUACACUGAUGUCAAUUUGUACAGUGCAGAACCUUCUCUCCACCUUCACCUUGCCAAUGUAGUAAUUCACUAAGAGUUGACAAUGUUAGGACUACAGUCUGACCACUGAGGAAAGAGUGAAUACCAUCAAGCAUAAAAAGUCUAACCAACAUCAUUUAAUGGCUUGUGAUGUCUGAGCAUCAACACUCCUCCAUGUUAAUGUCUUAACUAUCAUUUGAUUUUGUACUAGGGUCAAACAUUUUAGUUGCACACAGCAUUAGCGCAGUUAGCCAAGGGAUCAAGACGAGAUAAGCUUGUGAUGCAGUCUCUAUGGUUAAAACUGUGUUCACGAGAGCUAUAUAAUGGUCAACACCUGGAUACCUCUCUGGUACGCUACAAGAUCCAUUAUAUGAAUGGUCCACUGCUUGCUGUAUCUGUGGUGAUGGUCACAUUGCAGGUAUGAAUGAAUUUAGCAUUGAUUGGUUCUACAACACAUUUGACAUACUGUACACAAAACGUAGGUUCCUUGAUCAGUUCCUGGAGAACUGGCCUGACAGCAAAUAAAAGCAUGCCCCUGGGAUUCUUCUGUCUGAAAUAAUUUUGAUAACCUGCCUCAUGUGAGCUGCACAUAACACACUGCAUAAGCCCAUUCAUUAAGCCCAUUUUCUAUCAUCCUUUAGUUCAGGUUGAUAUUGCCUAAGUUUCCGGUAAUGUUUGAAAUGUGUAUAAUAAUUAUUGUCUCCUCAAGGAGAAAAUAAGACUUUUGCACCUGCUGGGUGCCUGAUGAGAGGCUACGUAUAUCGAGACUUCAGUUUGGAGAGAAGUCUGAGAGCAAAGAGUAAGGUUUACAAAAUCAUUAAUGGAGUGUAUCAAGUGAAUGAGUAACUGUUGCUCACCUGUUAUUCAACAGCAGAAGGAUUAGGAUGUUUCCAAUGAAGCUAGUAGGAGAUUGGUGUGAAACUGAUAGAAGAAAGUUCAUUUUUAUACAGAGAGUAAUGAACUCCCACAAUUUGUUGUCAUAGGAGACUGUGGAGGCAGGGUCAAAGCAGGGUUAAGCAAAUUCAGGGGCACCAGGUCUAUAAGCAUAUUAACAAAGUAUGCAUAUGCAGGGCAGUACCUUCUAAUAUCCCUCUUCCAGUGGUUGUGGUUGCUGGAUGGGAAUGAGGGGAUCAGACUGCACAAAGUGGCCAGGAACAGAUGUGUUCGCUAGAUGGUGUUUCCCACUGCAGCUAUCAUAAAGGUAGUGACAUAGCUGUGUCCCAGUCUGCUAUAACUGUGUUCUUAUAUCCUUAUAUUAACUGGAGAAUCAAACAGGUCAGACACUCUCUCAAACCAAAAAUAUGGCGUGCAUUUUCCAUGACCUUCCACUCUGUCCAAAUGUGAAGCAUUCAUUCUCACACUUUUGCCUGGUUCCUUUAGAAACUUAUUCACAAAUAACUUAAACAUAAAAUGGCAGUCCUCUAUGGGGAAUGGCUUAGUAAUCUUACACUCCCUCAGCUCCCCACAGCUACUGACUUCUCCAGAGCAGCCCCUUUCCUUUCCAUACAAGAGGGAAGGGUCUCUGGUCUUACUGUAAAAGCAGGAAGUUCAGAAGGAAGAAGCCGUGAUUCUAGUCAGAGAUGCUUUUGAUUUGGUCAGUCAAAAGGAAAACAUUAGUACUUACCUAAGGUAAUUAUUUGAAGAAUACGGUUAUAUUAUUUUCUGCCCCUGCACAUCACUGAAUCAGAGUGCAGUUACAUACUGUUGAGUUAUUGGUGGAACAGCAGCAGAAUGAUUAAGGAAAUCAAAAGGCAAAACUAUGCAAAAUAUGUUAGUUAUCAACAAAGUAAUUGGGUAGCAUUUAAAUGAACAAAACGGACAUAGUCAUGCAAAAUAUUACAAAGGAUUAUAAUAACUGUAGCAGAGAGUGGAGGCUUCCAAGUGACUGCAUUCCAAAUGACCUGAUUACAUUCACUACUGGCAAACAGGACUUUCUCAUCACUACCCUACUUCAGGGAACCCCAACAAGAGGGGAAGGUCACUCCAGAGGUGUCAGCGUUUCCCAAAGAAUGGGAAAUUAUAAAUGAGAGUGAGAGGAGAAAAGCUUUAGAGAGGAAGAAAACAAAUUCUGAAUUCUGUUAGAUGGAUAACAAGCUGUAUGUCAUAACAAGGAUAACUUUUAAGCCCACUGUGGUUCAGUGGUUACACCACCAGUCAGAGCAAAAAUCCAGUAUAUAGUACUGAAAAUAAUUUUUUAAAUGGGGAGAUCACAGAAGUAUAAAAUUGAUUUACAAAAUGGGGAAAGUGAUAGAUUGAAGCUGAAGACUACAGUAGAAAGACACUACAGGUUUAUAAUGAAAUGCAAAUUUCCUAAAAUAUACUUGUAAAGAAAGAAUUUCUAGUGAUGGUAUAAGAUGUUUCAUUAGAUGGAGAUAAUACAUUUUAAAUAAUGUAGGAAAAGACCAAGUUUUUACUGUUUUGGAUAUGAGAAGAUGAUGGAGAUAGUGAAACUGAAAUAUUUUCAAAUGCAUUAGUAAAAAAGGAGAAUUUUUAGUAAACACAGACUAGACAAUUUGAGAACUGGUCUUCCUAUGGUGUGCCAGAGUACCCUACACAAGCAUGGAUGUCCUCUCUUCCCCAAGCACAGCCUCCAGCUCCAUUUCUGUCCCCACUCGGCCGUGGGCUCACUGCAGAGCUGGCUUCAGGUUCCUGCGUGGGCAGUCCAUGCCUGAAGCACCCUUGUCAUCACCAGUAGCAGGCAUGCAAUAUCUGCCUAGCAGCUGGGGGUGCAUAGCCCAUCUGUUCCUUGGCCAGCACUGCACAACAGGGACAUUGUCAGCCACCAUGACCAGCUGAGGGGAUCACACCCAUUAAAGACCAGUGGUGCCUCCGACUGCUCCAUCAUGGUCUUGCUUAUCAGGCCUUCGUGCUGCUUGUUGGGGCCGUGGCGCAGUGUCCAUCUCCGCACUGCUGGCGGACUGGUGGCGGCGGUAUCCUGGAAGGGCGCUCUGCGUGUGGCACUCCAUUUGCUCUGCUCCCCGCCAGGAUGCCCACCACACGCAGCACGCCCAGCGCUGGCUCGGCCCCGGCCUCCUGCCCCGUCCGCCCGCUCGCCGCAGUAGGGUGGCUGGGCCGUCCCCUGUUCGGGAGCUCGGGGAUCGCUCCCGCCAUGCGGCGGCGGGGCCGCCCCGCUGGCUUUGCCCGCUAGAGGGCAAGAGAGCCCCGCACAAGCGCGGCGGGGCGCUGCCCCUGCCCCGCAGUGCUCGGUCCCACUCCUGCCCCGGGGUUCCGGCGGGGACCUGCCCUGGGGUGGCAGCUACAGGCGGCCUGAGCGGACCUGGGGAGCGGAGCCUCCGCGGACGUGCCUUCUGGAGGCGGCGACAGCCAGGGGCCCCGAGGCCUUCACCUGGGGUCUGGUGACCAGCAUUUCCAGCAGGAGAUGACCUGUAUGGCUAUGGUGCCCUAGAUGAAGAGGUAUUUUUCAUAAGGUAUGUUGCUGGGGAGUACAAGAUGCAAAAUACUGAAGCCUGCACUAGAACGAAAAAUAAAAUUCCAUAUAAUACUUUUCA